UGAUACGACGGUUGUCAGAAAUUAGUCAUCGUCGAAAUUGGUUGGCUAGUUUUUGUCCGUAGCGAGCAUUUUUUGUUUUAAUGUGCGCUGAAACAUCGUGUUUUUUUUUGUGUUUCUCGCGGUAUAUUGAACAUGUAAUUUUAUUUUAAUUUUAUGGCGUCGGCUGAACCGCCUCCACUCCUUAGCCCUUCGGAGCUGGUCCCUCGACAUGGCAAGCAUGUUACAAAACCACCUGUCAUGUUAAUGUGUUUUAUAAAACUUUAAGAAACCCAAGUGUGAGGGACUCGUUAGAAGACUAUCCCUCCCCCCUUUUACUCAUUGUGUAAUUCUCUGUUGGUUGUGAAUAUUCUACUGAUAAUGUGAUAUGUGAUACGUUUUUUAAACCGUGGUGUCCCAAUGCCUUUCAAGUAAGGGCCAAACUACAAAAAAAUAGUUUAUCAGUUUGGGGCAUACGGUCGGCUGGAAUAAUGGUAUACGAUGUUUGAUAUAUUAAUAUACAUAUCAUAAAUACACAAUAAAUGAAAACGAUUAUGAUAAUUAUUAGGAAGUCAAUAUGUCUUAACAACAAUAAAAAAAUAACUCGUUUUUUAUAAAUUUGAUGGCCUUCAAUAUUUGCCGCUGUAGGCAGAUGCCUAUAUUGCCUGCAAAUGAAUACGCUGCUGUUCAGAAUAUUACUCGGAUGACGCUGUUGGUCGUCUAAACACUGCUCGUGUGUGUAUGCGUAUCCGUUUAUACUACUGGUAUCUGAAGGAAACAACUUUAAUAUUCGUACACAAAAAAUUAGAGUGUGCGAUCAUCCCAUCGUCCAAACCACAAGCCGCCAUUGGUAUUUCAUCAGGAUCAACUCUGGAAUAAAUAUCUGAACUACUUAAAUAUUCAUUAAUCUCGUUUUUACUAACAUACCACACAUGUAAUUUAAAAAUAUUAUUUGAUUUAAUAAAGGAAAUUGGAAUAUUAA
This is a long non-coding RNA of Daktulosphaira vitifoliae (grape phylloxera), 958 nucleotides long. RefSeq lists it as uncharacterized. The record is from RefSeq and is a predicted model, not a curated record. NCBI's taxonomy places the organism in Eukaryota, Metazoa, Arthropoda, Insecta, Hemiptera, Phylloxeridae. The transcript is spliced from 4 exons.